UGGCGGCAAGCCUUACACAUGCAAGUCGAGCGGUAGCAGAUCUAGCUUGCUAGAUGCUGACGAGCGGCGACGGGUGAGUAACGCGUAGGAACCUGCCCAGUAGUGGGGGAUAGCCCGGGGAAACUCGGAUUAAUACCGCAUACGCUCUACGGAGGAAAGAGGGGGCUUCGGCUCUCGCUAUUGGAUGGGCCUGCGUGAGAUUAGCUAGUUGGUGAGGUAAUGGCUCACCAAGGCGACGAUCUCUAGCUGGUCUGAGAGGAUGAUCAGCCACACUGGGACUGAGACACGGCCCAGACUCCUACGGGAGGCAGCAGUGGGGAAUAUUGCACAAUGGGCGCAAGCCUGAUGCAGCCAUGCCGCGUGUGUGAAGAAGGCUUUCGGGUUGUAAAGCACUUUCAGUGGGGAGGAAGGCCUCGUAGUUAAUAGCUGCGAGGAUUGACGUUACCCACAGAAGAAGCACCGGCUAACUCCGUG
This 474-nucleotide ribosomal RNA is filed under the name uncultured bacterium. RNAcentral's name for it is "bacterial SSU rRNA". It matches the Rfam family "Bacterial small subunit ribosomal RNA", at positions 37 to 507 of the family's 1533-position model. The record is from RNAcentral.